GACGAACGCUGGCGGCGUGCUUAACACGUGCAAGUCGAACGAUGAAGCUGGAGCUUGCUCCGGUGGAUUAGUGGCGAACGGGUGAGUAACACGUGAGCAAUCUGCCCUUGACUCUGGGAUAACUGCGGGAAACUGUAGCUAAUACCGGAUACGAGGCUCGAAGGCAUCUUCGGGUCUGGAAAGAAUUUCGGUCAAGGAUGAGCUCGCGGCCUAUCAGCUUGUUGGUGAGGUAAUGUCUCACCAAGGCGACGACGGGUAGCCGGCCUGAGAGGGUGACCGGCCACACUGGGACUGAGACACGGCCCAGACUCCUACGGGAGGCAGCAGUGGGGAAUAUUGCACAAUGGGCGAAAGCCUGAUGCAGCAACGCCGCGUGAGGGAUGAAGGCCUUCGGGUUGUAAACCUCUUUAGCGGGGAAGAAGCGAAAGUGACGGUACCUGCAGAAAAAGCACCGGCUAACUACGUGCCAGCCGCCGCGGUAA
This 482-nucleotide ribosomal RNA is filed under the name uncultured bacterium. Its description in RNAcentral is "partial 16S ribosomal RNA". It matches the Rfam family "Bacterial small subunit ribosomal RNA", at positions 28 to 523 of the family's 1533-position model. The record is from RNAcentral.